GGCUAUUAUAGUUUUCUUUUAUGACUUGAUAAAUAUGGCCCCUAAAUAAUUGUUUUUAUGGAGGUGUGUUGAUAUUGCCUUUUUCUCUGAUCCCCUAUGCAUUCUCGCCAUUCUUGUUUUCUGUUCCUCAAGCUUGCCAUUGUUGUUUUAUUCUCUUUAAGUUUGACAUCAUGGCUAUUGUUUUAUAGGUGUGUCUUCUUUGCCUCAUGUUUCUUCUCCUAAGAUAAUGGGUGUUAACCUAUCUUGUUGCGAGACUCCAACCUCGUCUCUAAAGGUGGUGGAGUGAUGAGAUGACACACCUCUGUUUCUCCUAUAUUGGAGUCGUCCUUAUAAGAUUAAUAAGAUUAAGUGUAUAGGGGAAAAUCUUUUAAAUCUUGUAGAGAGGGUCGAUUGCGUAGCUUGUAGCUUGUAGCUUGAGCGAGAGAAAAAAAAAAAUCUCUCAUUUUGAAGGAUAUUAGUGUUAUGUUGGGUGAUUAAGCAAUAUUUGUGGUGGUAGUGCAUGGAUUUUGAAUGUAUCGAGAUCAUAUAAUUAUGUUUUUAGAGAUUUAAGCGAUGGUUGGUUGCACAAACAUUGGAUAAAAUAUGGCUUGAUGUUUUGUAACUUGUUGGAAGGAGUGCAAUAUGUACGUAUUACUUAAUCUUGUAAGUGGUAAGGUGAUAAGUUCUAUGUUUGACUUUGUAGAGUUUGAAUACUAUUACAAAUACUACUAUAAGGAUAUUUUACAUGAAAUCUAAUGUGAAAGGCAUAUAUUCCGAUAAUUGAUU
Molecule: long non-coding RNA, 765 nt
Filed under: Vigna radiata
Lineage: Eukaryota; Viridiplantae; Streptophyta; Magnoliopsida; Fabales; Fabaceae
Description: long non-coding RNA (VRAD_LNC009751)
Source: RNAcentral